UGCACUUUAUUCCACCACUUUUAUUGAGCAACGGCCGUGGGGACCUGAUGCUGCGCUCAGUGCUCUACUGUGAGACAUCACCAGACGUCAUUGCUAGAGGCAAGAAUCGCUUACAAAGAUGAAAGGGCAGAGCCUAAUACUUGUUUUUUAAUGGUUGUUAUUCCAUGCAGAAACACUGACUGAUCCAGAACUGGUAGCUAAGGCGGUGAUCAAACAGGAAUGCUCUUCUUCUCAGUUUAAGACGAAGACCCGCCAUGACAACGGCUGGAACGCUGGAGAAGAGAAACUCCACGGCGGCCGGUGUGAAGCUUCUCGCCAGAUUUGUGGCUCCACCCCCAAGUACCCACGUGGAGAGGCCUCCAGUCGUACAGCACAAAGGGCAUCGCCUUGGGCGGCUCAGGUUCACUCUGUCCCGCACUGUCUGUGGUGGGAGGUUCGGGCCGGCCUGGGUGCAUCCAGUGAGUACCACGUUCCCUUUUCUGGUCACACUGUCUCCAGGACAGGCCUGAUCCGUUCUCCAUUACGGGUAGAGACGGGGUUUCACCAUGUUGGCCCGGCUGGUCUCAAACUCCUGACCUCAG
Molecule: long non-coding RNA, 581 nt
Organism: Mandrillus leucophaeus (drill)
Lineage: Eukaryota; Metazoa; Chordata; Mammalia; Primates; Cercopithecidae
Exons: 3
Source: RefSeq, a predicted model, not a curated record